UGGGGAAUAUUGGACAAUGGGCGAAAGCCUGAUCCAGCCAUGCCGCGUGUGUGAAGAAGGUCUUCGGAUUGUAAAGCACUUUAAGUUGGGAGGAAGGGCAUUAACCUAAUACGUUAGUGUUUUGACGUUACCGACAGAACAAGCACCGGCUAACUCUGUGCCAGCAGCCGCGGUAAUACAGAGGUUGCAAGCGUUAAUCGGAAUUACUGGGCGUAAAGCGCGCGUAGGUGGUUUGUUAAGUUGGAUGUGAAAUCCCCGGGCUCAACCUGGGAACUGCAUUCAAAACUGACUGACUAGAGUAUGGUAGAGGGUGGUGGAAUUUCCUGUGUAGCGGUGAAAUGCGUAGAUAUAGGAAGGAACACCAGUGGCGAAGGCGACCACCUGGACUAAUACUGACACUGAGGUGCGAAAGCGUGGGGAGCAAACA
RNAcentral lists this ribosomal RNA (427 nucleotides) under uncultured bacterium. RNAcentral describes it as "partial 16S ribosomal RNA". It matches the Rfam family "Bacterial small subunit ribosomal RNA", at positions 355 to 774 of the family's 1533-position model. The record is from RNAcentral.